GUGUUGUACUAUAGGCUUUGUUUGUUUAAUGUGAUGUUGGUUGUUCUUUUUCUUUUUGAAGGUUUGUACAUUCAUGUUCAGUUCUUCGAUUCAUGUUCAGUUCUUCACCUUAAGUCUGCACUCUCCACCCUCAAACUUCACUUCGCCGACAUGAAAGUUCAAGCCCUGAUUUCCAACCGGUCAGAUCAUAAAUCGAAACAAAGAUUUCAUUCUUGAGACACACCUUUGCAAAUUUUUAGCCACGUAGUCUGAUUCAUCUGUUUUGUAUAAGCAAGAGAGAUAGAGAGGCUAAGAGAGAGAAAGUGUAUUCGGUGUAGAUAGAGAGAUAGGCAUGGGGCGGAGGUAUGCGACGGUGUUUAGGGUUCCGCCAACGACCUGCCUUCUUCAAAAUUUUGAGACAGGUUGAACAGAUUCUGAGAUAGAGAGAGUGAGCGGCGCCGGGAUAUAAAGAGAAGGAUCAUGAUGAGAGAGACAUCGGGAUCUUUUCCUCCCACCGAUUCACCAUAAAAUCCAGCCACCUACUGGGCUUAUUGCGAUACGUCUCCAUUAGUUUUUUCUAGCUGUCUCUUUUUUCCCAAUUGUCGUUUGUAUGGUUCCCUUUUUUUUACCUGGGUUCUCAGGCGCAUGGACCACUCAUCUGUUAUACAAGUUAACCUUCAACUGUCUUGGGCUUCUUCUGGUAAACAAGAUGUUGAAGAUUACAACGGUUGGGUCUUUGGGGAAGAAAGUGUUGGCUCCAAAAGGCAGACGAAAGGGUUGCCGACGUUUGUUUUGUUUGAUAUUGGGAGUUCAGUUGUGGCUUUACUUGAUGUGUUUGCUCAUUUAGCAUUGUCAAAAAAGGGUUUUGUUUUUCGGUUUCAUGUUUUGGUUGAUAAGAAAUCGUUGGGUUCGGAAGAUGGAUUAAAAGUGGACGAAUGUUUUGAUGAGCCAAUGAUGGAAAAUGUUGAUGUGAUUGCAAAAGAAGGUAUUAAUUGUGUUUGUUAUUCUGAAUGUGUUAUUGUUGUGGAUUUUAUGUUUGCGUAUUUUUUUUGCUGGAGAUUGUUUUACAGUAAACGGUCGUGCUAAUUGGAAAUUUAAUUUAGUUGCAUAUCACACAUGAUGGUUUUCGUUGACAUGAAGAAACAGUCUCGACCAUGUAGAUCUGGGGUAUUGUAUUGUGGCUGUGAUAGAUCUAGGAUGACAAGAUGACGUGUCGAGGUGUCUGGGGUUCUGAUCAGCCUCGACUAUUGGUCAGAUGAGCAUUUGACGUCCCACUGAUGAAGGAAGACCAUGGAACUCAAUCAUCGCUGGUGCCGCCACCUGCGGGUUUCUUCAGAUGCGCCAGGGAUUAUGGCCGGCGGGUCGCUCGGCUCUUUUAGGUGGCGUUUUGUUGGCCCUGAUUCAAGGGGCGGGAAUUACUUUAAUACAGUUAUUAGUGCGCAACAACCGCAACCGGUGGUUAUUGAAGAGGCGCCGCAGGUGGAGUUGGAGCAUUCUUCAGCGUCAUCUCCGUUGUGGUUUGGUGGUUUGUUUGGUGGCAGGCGAGAGGAGGAGAAGCCGAAGUUGAAAGUUGAAGUGUUGGAGAGUUUUGAUUCGCCAAUGCCGCCUACUUUUGAGUUUCAGUGACUUUGUUUUGAUGUUAUUUUGCACACCUGGUUGAAUAUCUUUAUGUUCUUGGGUUUGUUUAGAGUUGCCACAAGUUCGCAGACUUCCACAAUUACUUUU
This is an RNA transcript of Helianthus annuus (common sunflower), 1704 nucleotides long. RefSeq lists it as uncharacterized. The record is from RefSeq and is a predicted model, not a curated record. The transcript has 4 exons. NCBI's taxonomy places the organism in Eukaryota, Viridiplantae, Streptophyta, Magnoliopsida, Asterales, Asteraceae.